Long non-coding RNA from Cyprinodon tularosa, 465 nucleotides. RefSeq lists it as uncharacterized. The transcript has 3 exons. NCBI's taxonomy places the organism in Eukaryota, Metazoa, Chordata, Actinopteri, Cyprinodontiformes, Cyprinodontidae. The record is from RefSeq and is a predicted model, not a curated record.
UAAAAUCCUCCUUUCUUUAAUUUAUUCAACACUAAUCUAGUGAGAACAAUACUGUUCUCGCACGGUUUUGACAUCAUGUGCCAGCUGCACGUCAUUGUCCUAAUUGACAGCUAUGGCUUAUAUGGCUGCUAACCGCGCCUUAGGUAGGAAAUGCUGUUGGACCCUGACGUGCAGACGUGUGAUCAAUCAACCAAACAUUGUAAAGAUCACGGUUGGUCAAGAGGGAACUGGCCAGGUAUAUUGCAGAUCCCCCUCAAGGCGUGGCUGAAGGGUCUAGGAUACAGCAAAGAUUGUCUGGCUUCAUGCUGACCAGACUGGCGAGCUAACCGCUUAACGGAUUGGGAGAUACAUCACCUAGUAUCUGAGGAAACUCUUCUGAACUGGUUGGAGAUUCAGCCCAACAAGUCUCCACUGAAGGAAUUGGAUUAUUAUUAUUUUUGUUUUUUCUCCCUUUCAUCAUCAACA